RNAcentral lists this ribosomal RNA (387 nucleotides) under uncultured bacterium. RNAcentral describes it as "bacterial SSU rRNA". It matches the Rfam family "Bacterial small subunit ribosomal RNA", at positions 29 to 408 of the family's 1533-position model. The record is from RNAcentral.
ACGAACGCUGGCGGCGCGCCUAAUACAUGCAAGUCGAGCGAGAAGACGUAGCAAUACGUUUGUAAAGCGGCGAACGGGUGAGGAAUACAUGGGUAACCUACCCUCGAGUGGGGAAUAACUAGCCGAAAGGUUAGCUAAUACCGCGUACGCUCCUUGGACUUCGGUUCAGGGAGGAAAGCGAUACCGUGGGUAUCGCGCUCUUGGAUGGGCUCAUGUCCUAUCAGCUUGUUGGUGAGGUAACGGCUCACCAAGGCUUCGACGGGUAGCUGGUCUGAGAGGACGAUCAGCCACACUGGCACUGCGACACGGGCCAGACUCCUACGGGAGCAGCAGUAAGGAAUAUUGCGCAAUGGGCGAAAGCCUGACGCAGCGACGCCGCGUGGGGGA